AACGAACGCUGGCGGCAGGCUUAACACAUGCAAGUCGAACGCACCUUUCGGGGUGAGUGGCAGACGGGUGAGUAACGCGUGGGAAUCUACCCUUCUCUACGGGAUAGCUCCGGGAAACUGGAAUUAAUACCGUAUACGUCCUGAGGGAGAAAGAUUUAUCGGGGAAGGAUGAGCCCGCGUUGGAUUAGCUAGUUGGUGGGGUAAAGGCAUACCAAGGCGACGAUCCAUAGCUGGUCUAAGAGGAUGAUCAGCCACAUUGGGACUAAGACACGGCCCAAACUCCUACGGGAGGCAGCAGAGGGGAAUAUUGGACAAUGGGCGCAAGCCUGAUCCAGCCAUGCCGCGUGAGUGAUGAAGGCCCUAGGGUUGUAAAGCUCUUUCAGUGGGGACGAUAAUGACGGUACCCACAGAAGAAGCCCCGGCUAACUUCGUG
RNAcentral lists this ribosomal RNA (433 nucleotides) under uncultured bacterium. RNAcentral's name for it is "partial 16S ribosomal RNA". It matches the Rfam family "Bacterial small subunit ribosomal RNA", at positions 29 to 507 of the family's 1533-position model. The record is from RNAcentral.